AGAAAUAAGUCCUGUUAUUUUUUUGAAUAGGGAGCAAGGAAAAUACGAAGACGUUUAUAAGAUUAAGGCAGGAACAUUCUGAUCUCUUCACUGGAGCUAAAAAUACAGCCUUAUAUGGUUGGAGAUUUAUUCUGGAGAAAAUGGACCUUUCCAGUAAAAUAACACCAGUGCAAGCUAAGAAAAAGUGGGACAAUUUAAAAAAAAAGUAUAAGGAAUGCAAACAUCCAGGGUCAGGUGAGGGCAUGAACAACGGAAAGCCAACUGCUGAAACCUGGCCGUGGUUUGUCCUGAUGGAUGAGAUGUUGGGUCAGAGGCCUUCCAUUUCUCCCCCUGUUCUCAUUUCUUCACUGCCUGAUGACGAACCACAGCCAGGUUGCAGUUUUGUUGAGCCUACCCAGGAAGCAGAACAGCAGGAGAGGGCAGGGAUAGAUCAGUCACAAACGAAAAAGAGAAAAAAUAAAUCAGAUCCUCUUCUUGAGCUCCUGAAGGAAGACAUGGCACGGCAGAAGGAGUGGGAAGAAAGGAGAGAUGCAGAAGACAGGGCGAGGAGUGAUAGGCUCUUUAAUUUACUUGAAAAGUUCAUUGAUAAAAUGUAAUAAAACUAUUUACAAUAUUUACUUACUAUCGUUAAUUACAAUUAUUGAAAAGGUAAUUCUGUAGACAACAUUUCACUAAAUCUUUAAAGUAAUACAUUUUAAAUGGCUUAAAAAUAUUUAAUGAAUAAAAUGUAUUUGGUUACAAUUUAACAAAUAUAAAAGAUAUAUUAUGAAAAAGAUGUCAUGUGUUGUGUGAGCUCUCAUGCUGACUUCUUGGUAAGCCUAAGAACAAAAGAAGAAGAAAAUAUGCUGGCUUAAGGAUUUUAAAAUUCCAUGAUAAGGUAAUCAGUUAUGCAUUAAUAAUUCUGUAUAAACUAUAUUAAACUAAAGUAUAGGUAAUUAUACAUUUUAAUUUUAAAAUCAGUAUUUGUAGCCAAAUUAAAUGAAAUUGUAUUAAUUAAGAUUAAUUCCUUAAUUGUAUUAAGUGUGUACAACUUACAUUUUUA
This is a long non-coding RNA of Carassius gibelio (silver crucian carp), 1042 nucleotides long. RefSeq lists it as uncharacterized. Lineage: Eukaryota; Metazoa; Chordata; Actinopteri; Cypriniformes; Cyprinidae. The record is from RefSeq and is a predicted model, not a curated record. The transcript has 3 exons.